RNAcentral lists this small nuclear RNA (108 nucleotides) under Sus scrofa (pig). The record is from RNAcentral. Lineage: Eukaryota; Metazoa; Chordata; Mammalia; Artiodactyla; Suidae.
GUGAAACAAUCGGGCAGCACAUCUGCAAAGUCUGGACCAGCACAGAGGAGAGCAGCACGGCCCCUGAGCAAGGAUCAUGCGCUAAUGUGUAAAGCGUUCUGUGCCUUA